This 1965-nucleotide long non-coding RNA is filed under the name Homo sapiens (human). RNAcentral describes it as "HSALNT0248067". The record is from RNAcentral. Lineage: Eukaryota; Metazoa; Chordata; Mammalia; Primates; Hominidae.
CCUGGUACCAAAGAUCCUUUAUUAAAUACUCAAUAUAAUCAUGCAUGGUUUAUCAUAUUUUCUCGAUUUUACAGACUUAGUAAUGGACUUGUCCAUAUUUAUUUAUUUCCAUAAAUAAUUAGGAGAGCCUGGAGUUGCACCAAGUUCUCUCUGACUUGAAGAGCUUAUCAAUUAAAAAAUAAGUCAGAGUCAGGGUGACUCUGACUCUAGCCCAAUAAGUAGAAAAGGAUAUGAGAUGUCCACUGCUUCAAUUAUCUUCAGAGCAAGAUAACAACCAUUUAUUAAAGCAGGAGAGAAAGUAUCCUAUUGUUUAACUUCUGUAGGGACAGCGAUUUCUUGGAUUGCUUAGGUUUCCAACUUUGGACUCUUCUGUAUAUGUAGUGUAGAUUCAGUUGUAAAAUGUUGCUUCCUCUCUGAGAAAACUCUUCUGGUUCUACUGGACCCCUUCUAGACAGUACCUUGCCCAGGCAUCCACUCUCGUACAAAGGACACAAGGAAGAAUACCAGAAACUACUGAUUCUCUUAUUCUCAGAACCUAUGGAAGUGACCUAGAAUAGCCAAGACAAAUUGAAAAACAAGAAUAAGUUUGGAGGACUUAUGCAAUUGGUUUUAAAAAAUUACAGCAAACUAAACUAAUCAAAAGAGUGUAGUAUUGGCACAAUAUACACAUCAAUGGAACAGAACAGAGUAUACAAAAACCGAUGCAAACAUACAUAGUCAGUUGGCUUUUGGUAAAGAUUCCAAGAAAAUUCAAUGAGAACAAAACAGUCCUUUUAAAGAAUGCUUGCUGUAAUAAUUGGGUAACAGUUUGGGAGGAAAAAUUAAGCUCAACCAUUGCCUCACAAUAUACAUAAAACAUUAAUACAAAAAGGUGUUAUAGUUCUAAAUGUAUGAGCUAAAACUCUAAAACUUCUAGAAGAAAACAGAAGAAAAUCAGUGUGGCAUAAGGAGUCCUUGAAAAGAAGAGAAAACUCAGAAAUCAUGUUAGAAAAAUAUGGUAGAGAGGACUAGUUUGCAGCUCUGGACAGAGUAGCAUGCAGAGGCUUGCAUUGUGAAUUUUAGCUCCAGAUGGACUGCAAGAACAAAUCAGCAAUUCUCAGAGGACCUGCAGGCUCUCUGAAAGAAGCAGACAGCUCCUUGCAGGACACCCCAAAUACUGUGAGUGCCCCAGGUGCAGAGGUGGGAAAGGGAGACCCUCCUCCCCCGAACACACCCCACCAACUAGAGAAGCUGAAGGUCUGUUUGCGGGAGAAGUUUUGGACUUGACCCGGAGCUGAGUCAAGUUAGAGAGCCAGUGAAAUACAGGGGUAGGACAAAGCAGCAGAAAGGCCCUGGGAGCUCGCUCGGUCCCCAGCAGCCCAUUCCUGCCUGGCACCACAAGGAUCCAUUGGGAAGGUGGGCAGAGGAGCAGGGGGUAAAACUCCACAGGGAGAAGGAAUUCUCUCCCUUAACUUUGUAACAAUUUGAACCCAGUGAGAAACCUCCUGGCCAGAACUCAGGGAGGGCAGGAAUUCACAGGCAGGGGAAGAACCAAGCCCUUUUCUCUCACAGCUGGGAGGCGGAUAGCUUCAGGCAAAUUUUCAAGUCCUUCUCACCCUCUUCCUGGAAACAGACUUUGGGCUGUCGUGUGGGGUGUGGUGGGAGAGAGACCCGGCCCUUCAGUUUGUGUGGGAGCUGGCUGAGGCCCGUUACUGCUGGCUUUCCUCCACUUCCAACCUGCAGGACUCAGCAGAGGCAGCCAUAAUCCUCCUAGUUACACAAUUCCAGUGUUGCUGGUGAGGCAAAAUGGUGCAUUCACUUCAGAAAAUAAUUAAAAAGAGGUAAAACUGACACUGACUGAAACCGCAUACAGUAAGAUUUUCUGUUGCUUUAAAACUGGCAGAUAAAUCACAAUAUCCUGAAUUGUAGAACUGCAAAAUUCGAUCUAUAAAAAUUUGUCAAGAGAUAUAAUUACUGUAAAUAAAA